GAUGAAGAACGCAGCGAAAUGCGAUACGUGAUGUGAAUUGCAGAAUUCAGUGAAUCAUCGAAUCUUUGAACGCACCUUGCGCCCUUUGGCCAUUCCGAAGGGCAUGCCUGUUUGCGUAUCAUGAACACCUCAACUCUUUAUGGUUUUCCAUGAUGAGCUUGGACUCUGGGGGUUUUGCUGGCUCACAGUCGGCUCCUCUAAAAUAAAUCAGCUUACCAGUGUUUGGUGGGUAUCAUGGGUGUGAUAACUAUCUACGCUUGUGGUUUUUCCACCAGGUAACCUUCAGCAGUGGAGGUUCGCUGGAGCUCAUAGACGUCUCUCCUCAGUGAGGACAGCCCUUUGAACGUUUGAUCUCAAAUCAGGUAGGACUACCCGCUGAACUUAAGCAUAUCAAUAAGCGGAGGA
RNAcentral lists this unclassified non-coding RNA (405 nucleotides) under soil metagenome. RNAcentral's name for it is "partial contains 5.8S ribosomal RNA, internal transcribed spacer 2, and large subunit ribosomal RNA". The stretch from base 1 to 121 matches the Rfam family "5.8S ribosomal RNA", at positions 35 to 154 of the family's 154-position model. The record is from RNAcentral.